AGUGAACGCUGGCGGCAGGCCUAACACAUGCAAGUCGAACGGCAGCACAGUAAGAGCUUGCUCUUACGGGUGGCGAGUGGCGGACGGGUGAGGAAUACAUCGGAAUCUACUCUUUCGGGGGGGAUAACGUAGGGAAACUUACGCUAAUACCGCAUACGACCUACGGGGGAAAGCAGGGGAUCGUCGGACCUGGCGCGAAUGAAUGAGCCGAUGUCGGAUUAGCUAGUGGGCGGGGUAAAGGCCCACCAAGGCGACGAUCCGUAGCUGGUCUGAGAGGAUGAUAGGCCACACUGGAACUUGAACACGGUCCAGACUCCUACGGGAGGCAGCAGUGGGGAAUAUUAGACAAUGGUCGCAAGCCUGAUCCAGCCAUACCGCGUGGGUGAAGAAGGCCUUCGGGUUGUAAAGCCCUUUUGUUGGGAAAGAAAAGCAGCAGGUUAAUACCCCGCUGUUCUGACGGUACCCAAAGAAUAAGCACCGGCUAACUUCGUG
This 492-nucleotide ribosomal RNA is filed under the name uncultured bacterium. RNAcentral describes it as "partial 16S ribosomal RNA". It matches the Rfam family "Bacterial small subunit ribosomal RNA", at positions 29 to 507 of the family's 1533-position model. The record is from RNAcentral.